This 152-nucleotide non-coding RNA is filed under the name Thermus thermophilus. Lineage: Bacteria; Thermotogati; Deinococcota; Deinococci; Thermales; Thermaceae. The record is from RNAcentral.
CGCGAUGCCAGGCCGACAGGUCUGGACGCCCCAAGGCGGCGGGGGAAGACCGGUGCGAGUCCGGCGCUGUCCCGCAACGGUAACCGGCCUAAACGUCCCGCCCAUCUUUCUGGUCGGAAGCCCGAGUACCCGCUUCGCGGCCCUGCCCCGUA